GCCCGGGUGGUGGAAUAGGUAGACACAAGGGACUUAAAAUCCCUCGGCUUUGCAGCCGUGACGGUUCGAGUCCGUCCCCGGGCACCA
Molecule: transfer RNA, 87 nt
Filed under: Gammaproteobacteria bacterium RBG_16_51_14
Lineage: Bacteria; Pseudomonadati; Pseudomonadota; Gammaproteobacteria
Description: tRNA-Leu
Rfam family: tRNA
About the family: Transfer RNA (tRNA) molecules are approximately 80 nucleotides in length. Their secondary structure includes four short double-helical elements and three loops (D, anti-codon, and T loops).
Source: RNAcentral